Molecule: ribosomal RNA, 422 nt
Filed under: uncultured bacterium
Lineage: Bacteria
Description: partial 16S ribosomal RNA
Rfam family: Bacterial small subunit ribosomal RNA
Source: RNAcentral
AAUUUUGGACAAUGGGGGCAACCCUGAUCCAGCCAUGCCGCGUGUGCGAUGAAGGCCUUCGGGUUGUAAAGCACUUUUAGCAGGAAAGAAACGGCGCCAGCGAAUACCUGGAGCUAAUGACGGUACCUGCAGAAUAAGCACCGGCUAACUACUAGCCAGCAGCCGCGGUAAUACGUAGGGAGCAAGCUUUAAUCGGAAUUACUGGGCGUAAAGCGUGCGAAGGCGGUUCGGAAAGAAAGAUGUGAAAUCCCAGAGCUUAACUUUGGAACUGCAUUUUUAACUACCGGGCUAGAGUGUGUCAGAGGGAGGUGGAAUUCCGCGUGUAGCAGUGAAAUGCGUAGAUAUGCGGAGGAACACCGAUGGCGAAGGCAGCCUCCUGGGAUAACACUGACGCUCAUGCACGAAAGCGUGGGGAGCAAACA